Molecule: small RNA, 30 nt
Filed under: Bombyx mori (domestic silkworm)
Lineage: Eukaryota; Metazoa; Arthropoda; Insecta; Lepidoptera; Bombycidae
Description: piRNA piR-bmo-1765904
Source: RNAcentral
UGAUAUGUCGAAAUCUUGGAUAAAUCCAGC